RNAcentral lists this microRNA precursor (51 nucleotides) under Marmota monax (woodchuck). Lineage: Eukaryota; Metazoa; Chordata; Mammalia; Rodentia; Sciuridae. The record is from RNAcentral.
UUUUUAGUAUAAGUAUGACCCAGACAAUAUUUGUGUCAUCUUUUGCUAAAA